RNAcentral lists this ribosomal RNA (428 nucleotides) under uncultured bacterium. RNAcentral describes it as "bacterial SSU rRNA". It matches the Rfam family "Bacterial small subunit ribosomal RNA", at positions 29 to 502 of the family's 1533-position model. The record is from RNAcentral.
AACGAACGCUGGCGGCAGGCUUAACACAUGCAAGUCGAGCGCUCUCUUCGGAGGGAGCGGCGGACGGGUGAGUAACGCGUGGGAACAUACCCUUUUCUGCGGAAUAGCCACUGGAAACGGUGAGUAAUACCGCAUACGCCCUACGGGGGAAAGAUUUAUCGGGGAAGGAUUGGCCCGCGUUGGAUUAGGUAGUUGGUGGGGUAACGGCCUACCAAGCCGACGAUCCAUAGCUGGUUUGAGAGGAUGAUCAGCCACACUGGGACUGAGACACGGCCCAGACUCCUACGGGAGGCAGCAGUGGGGAAUCUUAGACAAUGGGCGCAAGCCUGAUCUAGCCAUGCCGCGUGAGUGACGAAGGCCUUAGGGUCGUAAAGCUCUUUCGCGUGGGGAAGAUAAUGACUGUACCCAGUAAAGAAGUCCCGCUAACU